CCUACGGGAGGCUGCAGUGAGGAAUAUUGGUCAAUGGGCGCGAGCCUGAACCAGCCAAGUCGCGUGAGGGAAGACGGUCCUAUGGAUUGUAAACCUCUUUUGUCGGGGAGCAAAAGACGCCACGCGUGGCGUUCCGAGAGUACCCGAAGAAAAAGCAUCGGCUAACUCCGUGCCAGCAGCCGCGGUAAUACGGGGGAUGCGAGCGUUAUCCGGAUUUAUUGGGUUUAAAGGGUGCGCAGGCGGAAGAUCAAGUCAGCGGUAAAAUUGAGAGGCUCAACCUCUUCGAGCCGUUGAAACUGGUUGUCUUGAGUGAGUGAGAGGGAUGCGGAAUGCGUGGUGUAGCGGUGAAAUGCAUAGAUAUCACGCAGAACUCCGAUGGCGAAGGCAGCAUACCGGCGCUCAACUGACGCUCAUGCACGAAAGUGUGGGGAUCGAACAGGAUUAGAUACCCCUGUAGUC
Molecule: ribosomal RNA, 459 nt
Filed under: uncultured bacterium
Lineage: Bacteria
Description: partial 16S ribosomal RNA
Rfam family: Bacterial small subunit ribosomal RNA
Source: RNAcentral